AGAGUUUGAUCAUGGCUCAGAGCGAACGCUGGCGGCAGGCUUAACACAUGCAAGUCGAACGGGCGUAGCAAUACGUCAGUGGCAGACGGGUGAGUAACGCGUGGGAACGUACCUUUUGGUUCGGAACAACCCAGGGAAACUUGGGCUAAUACCGGAUAAGCCCUUACGGGGAAAGAUUUAUCGCCAAAAGAUCGGCCCGCGUCUGAUUAGCUUGUUGGUGAGGUAACGGCUCACCAAGGCGACGAUCAGUAGCUGGUCUGAGAGGAUGAUCAGCCACAUUGGGACUGAGACACGGCCCAAACUCCUACGGGAGGCAGCAGUGGGGAAUAUUGGACAAUGGGCGCAAGCCUGAUCCAGCCAUGCCGCGUGAGUGAUGAAGGCCCUAGGGUUGUAAAGCUCUUUUGUGCGGGAAGAUAAUGACGGUACCGCAAGAAUAAGCCCCGGCUAACUUCGUGCCAGCAGCCGCGGUAAUACGAAGGGGGCUAGCGUUGCUCGGAAUCACUGGGCGUAAAGGGUGCGUAGGCGGGUCUUUAAGUCAGGGGUGAAAUCCUGGAGCUCAACUCCAGAACUGCCUUUGAUACUGAGGAUCUUGAGUUCGGGAGAGGUGAGUGGAACUGCGAGUGUAGAGGUGAAAUUCGUAGAUAUUCGCAAGAACACCAGUGGCGAAGGCGGCUCACUGGCCCGAUACUGACGCUGAGGCACGAAAGCGUGGGGAGCAAACAGGAUUAGAUACCCUAGUAGUCC
Molecule: ribosomal RNA, 744 nt
Filed under: uncultured bacterium
Lineage: Bacteria
Description: bacterial SSU rRNA
Rfam family: Bacterial small subunit ribosomal RNA
Source: RNAcentral